Molecule: long non-coding RNA, 316 nt
Organism: Lingula anatina
Lineage: Eukaryota; Metazoa; Brachiopoda; Lingulata; Lingulida; Lingulidae
Source: RefSeq, a predicted model, not a curated record
CCGGAUGAUUCACGAUAUUAUACCAAGAUGGCGCGCUACGCAGGAAGUGCUGUAGGUGCACAAAGCCGAAUUUAAAUUUGGUUUUUUGUAGCACAAAAAAGAGCGUAGGUUCGACAGGAACCUAAGGAGAUUUUCUUUCGGUGUGAGAAAACGUUGAAGAUGGAGUCUGAUCCUGCUAUACCAGGUUCAGUCAUGAUGAGAGAGGUGCGUGAUAAGCCAGCAAGUAGACUGAAGAAACUGAAGAGGAGAAUCUCUGCAAGUUUUGGAAGACUUGCAAUUUCCAAAGAAGAUAUUCUAGAGAAUGAUUCAGAACAGG